UACAGAGGUCUCAGGCGUUGUUCGGAUUCAUUGGGCGUAAAGGGUGUGUAGGUGGCGCCGUAAGUCGGGUGUGAAAUUUCGGAGCUUAACUCCGAAACUGCAUUCGAUACUGCGGUGCUUGAGGACUGGAGAGGAGACUGGAAUUCAUGGUGUAGCAGUGAAAUGCGUAGAGAUCAUGAGGAAGACCAGUGGCGAAGGCGGGUCUCUGGACAGUACCUGACACUGAGACACGAAGGCCAGGGGAGCAAACGGG
RNAcentral lists this ribosomal RNA (253 nucleotides) under uncultured bacterium. Its description in RNAcentral is "partial 16S ribosomal RNA". It matches the Rfam family "Bacterial small subunit ribosomal RNA", at positions 524 to 776 of the family's 1533-position model. The record is from RNAcentral.